Molecule: ribosomal RNA, 1552 nt
Filed under: Staphylococcus aureus
Lineage: Bacteria; Bacillati; Bacillota; Bacilli; Caryophanales; Staphylococcaceae
Description: 16S ribosomal RNA
Rfam family: Bacterial small subunit ribosomal RNA
Source: RNAcentral
UUUAUGGAGAGUUUGAUCCUGGCUCAGGAUGAACGCUGGCGGCGUGCCUAAUACAUGCAAGUCGAGCGAACGGACGAGAAGCUUGCUUCUCUGAUGUUAGCGGCGGACGGGUGAGUAACACGUGGAUAACCUACCUAUAAGACUGGGAUAACUUCGGGAAACCGGAGCUAAUACCGGAUAAUAUUUUGAACCGCAUGGUUCAAAAGUGAAAGACGGUCUUGCUGUCACUUAUAGAUGGAUCCGCGCUGCAUUAGCUAGUUGGUAAGGCAACGGCUUACCAAGGCAACGAUGCAUAGCCGACCUGAGAGGGUGAUCGGCCACACUGGAACUGAGACACGGUCCAGACUCCUACGGGAGGCAGCAGUAGGGAAUCUUCCGCAAUGGGCGAAAGCCUGACGGAGCAACGCCGCGUGAGUGAUGAAGGUCUUCGGAUCGUAAAACUCUGUUAUUAGGGAAGAACAUAUGUGUAAGUAACUGUGCACAUCUUGACGGUACCUAAUCAGAAAGCCACGGCUAACUACGUGCCAGCAGCCGCGGUAAUACGUAGGUGGCAAGCGUUAUCCGGAAUUAUUGGGCGUAAAGCGCGCGUAGGCGGUUUUUUAAGUCUGAUGUGAAAGCCCACGGCUCAACCGUGGAGGGUCAUUGGAAACUGGAAAACUUGAGUGCAGAAGAGGAAAGUGGAAUUCCAUGUGUAGCGGUGAAAUGCGCAGAGAUAUGGAGGAACACCAGUGGCGAAGGCGACUUUCUGGUCUGUAACUGACGCUGAUGUGCGAAAGCGUGGGGAUCAAACAGGAUUAGAUACCCUGGUAGUCCACGCCGUAAACGAUGAGUGCUAAGUGUUAGGGGGUUUCCGCCCCUUAGUGCUGCAGCUAACGCAUUAAGCACUCCGCCUGGGGAGUACGACCGCAAGGUUGAAACUCAAAGGAAUUGACGGGGACCCGCACAAGCGGUGGAGCAUGUGGUUUAAUUCGAAGCAACGCGAAGAACCUUACCAAAUCUUGACAUCCUUUGACAACUCUAGAGAUAGAGCUUUCCCCUUCGGGGGACAAAGUGACAGGUGGUGCAUGGUUGUCGUCAGCUCGUGUCGUGAGAUGUUGGGUUAAGUCCCGCAACGAGCGCAACCCUUAAGCUUAGUUGCCAUCAUUAAGUUGGGCACUCUAAGUUGACUGCCGGUGACAAACCGGAGGAAGGUGGGGAUGACGUCAAAUCAUCAUGCCCCUUAUGAUUUGGGCUACACACGUGCUACAAUGGACAAUACAAAGGGCAGCGAAACCGCGAGGUCAAGCAAAUCCCAUAAAGUUGUUCUCAGUUCGGAUUGUAGUCUGCAACUCGACUACAUGAAGCUGGAAUCGCUAGUAAUCGUAGAUCAGCAUGCUACGGUGAAUACGUUCCCGGGUCUUGUACACACCGCCCGUCACACCACGAGAGUUUGUAACACCCGAAGCCGGUGGAGUAACCUUUUAGGAGCUAGCCGUCGAAGGUGGGACAAAUGAUUGGGGUGAAGUCGUAACAAGGUAGCCGUAUCGGAAGGUGCGGCUGGAUCACCUCCUUU